CGUGCACCAGUGGGGUCCCUUGGCCUGGCCUGUGCCCUCUCACAACCUAGAACCCCUUGGGGGAUGUCAGAGAGCCGGUUUUGGCCCGAUCCUGCAGGCCAGGCCAAGGGACCCCACUGGUGCACG
RNAcentral lists this microRNA precursor (126 nucleotides) under Myotis brandtii (Brandt's bat). RNAcentral describes it as "mir-9193 microRNA precursor family". It matches the Rfam family "mir-9193 microRNA precursor family". Lineage: Eukaryota; Metazoa; Chordata; Mammalia; Chiroptera; Vespertilionidae. The record is from Rfam by way of RNAcentral.